Parus major (Great Tit) is the source of this 1310-nucleotide long non-coding RNA. RefSeq lists it as uncharacterized. The transcript is spliced from 3 exons. NCBI's taxonomy places the organism in Eukaryota, Metazoa, Chordata, Aves, Passeriformes, Paridae. The record is from RefSeq and is a predicted model, not a curated record.
GCAAUGUGGAAUCAGGUGUUGAGGAAAGAGCUGGCUUCUGGUUUGUGUCUGUCAGAAAGGAAUCCUGCAAAAAAUGCAGAACGCAGAUCCAGCAGGACAUAGGUCAGGAAGGCGAUGGAGGUGCCGGCGAGCAGCACCCCGAGCACGAUGGGAACCACGAGGUCCGGGGAUGGCGGGGCAGGCUCCCUGAUGGCAGUGACGACAUAUGCUAAAAACACAUCCUCCAGCCCCUGCUCAAUGUCACCCUUCUGCUCCCUCAGCUUUCUGAGGAUAGAAGGGGAAAACGUGCAUCAUUUACCUGACCUUCAUUUUGGCUGCAGGAGUAGUGAGGAAAAUCUAGAAUAUCCCUCCCUGGUCAGACAAGACCUUUUCCCAGGAUUCAGACUUGUUGUGUUUUUCAUCCAGGAAAAGCUUUGUUUUCCAGCAACCAGCCCUGGUGCUUGUGACCUGAAAUACUGCAGAGCUUGGACAGAUGAACCAGAUCCACAUCUCUGACAGUUACCAAAGAAAUGUAAAAUUCACCUCAAGUCUGAGUUUUUAAUCAAUAUUCUGUCACUCUGAGAGAUUUGGUGCUGGAUUGGAUCAGUGGCCCAGUUAAUCCAUCAUUCUGGUAGCAGUCAGCACCAGCUGCUUCCAAGAAUGUUUUCCAUUUAAUUUUUACCAACAAAACCUGGUCCAUAACAGCAUUAACAUCACAAACUCAUUUUUCCCAUUUUCAGAGUGAUUUCCCUUCAUAAGGACUCAAUCUUUCCAAUGUAAAUAUAUGUUUAUGUGCAGCCAAAUAAAAGAUCUUCCAUCUUUGUUAACAUGCCAAAAUGGCCCAAUUAUGGUUUCAAUUGCAGGGUGGCCAUCACACAUCACUGGCUAAUUCCCUGUUCCUGCAGGGCUGGGGUGUCCUGGAGAAGCUCUGCUGCUGUGCCAUGAAGGGAGUUUUCACCUCUUGGUGAAAAUGGUGGGUUUGGUUUGUUGUGCCUGCCCUAUGUCUCCACAUUUUUAUCCUGAUAUCCAUGAAAACCUUUAUCCUAGGUUGUUAAAAUGACACAGACAUUGAGGUGGGAAGAGAUCACUUGAAAUUGUCUAGUCCAAUAACCUCUUUGAGAUUUAUCACCUUCAGGCCAAAAACUUACAAGGCAAAAAUUGGUGGAUUCCUGUGAAUUUGCUGAAAAUAUUCUGAGCUAUGUCAAACUGAAGGCCUGGCUUUUUUCCUGGGCACUGGCUGUAUCAGCUCCCUGUAGGCUGUCAGACCCCUAUCCCAAAGGGACUCUGAAUUUAUCAUUAGAUACUAUACCAGAAUAAGCUUCACAGUUUCA